RNAcentral lists this long non-coding RNA (1181 nucleotides) under Monodelphis domestica (gray short-tailed opossum). RNAcentral's name for it is "lncRNA (ENSMODG00000045656.1)". The record is from RNAcentral. Lineage: Eukaryota; Metazoa; Chordata; Mammalia; Didelphimorphia; Didelphidae.
AGUCUCUCUCUUGAGCUACAGUGCUGCAUCAUCAACUGCCUAUUGGACUCCUCAAUCUAGAUAUUUUUUUGUUCCUGAAUUGAAGAACACAGGACUACAAGCAAGAGUGACAGCAGACAAGAGUGGCAUGCUGACCAGAUGACGAAGGACACGCAGAGUUUCUACAAUCAACAUCAAAGGACAUGGAAGGACUUUGAAAGUUUGGACUUGUGAUCAUGAAGUUAUGAGGAUGAAUGAGAAGAGUAUCUGAGCAAUCAGCAAAGUCAUCAGCACUACUAGAAAAAUAGCAACUUCGACAAAUUCGCCUGACAGUAAGUCCUGGACAACCUUUAUAUAUUAAGCUCCCCAUUGUUUGCACCAAAAUAUCCUCAGCAAUUACCAACCAGCCUACCUCAUGCAGAGACACUUGUCACCAGGAAGUUAGCCAAUGGAUGGACUUUGGGAGCUGAAAGGUGUGGAGAGAAAGAUGAUAACAGAUCUCAAAAACCAUCUACCAAGGCUUUGCUUUAUUACUCAAAAUGAUUACUACGAAGGGGUGACAACUACAGACCUACUCACCACUGACACCAGAGAGAGAGACAAAGGCAGAAUCAAUUUACAGCCUCAACCUGAACUAGUCCACAAGAAGUUAAUUUCCCCUGGACAGCUCCUUUCAAUCUCUUUAUGUCCAUCACCACCACUCCCAUUUUUUUGUCCUGAGGCACUCCAAGUAGUAACCAGUGUCAGUAUUCACUCUGGGUGAACAAGACAUUAUUUCCUUAAUAACUUCCAUCUUGUGGGACUUAGAGCUGGGGAGAACCUUGGAGGUCAUUGAGCCCAAACCCUUUAUUUUAUAGAUGGGGAAAGCAGAGAAGUAGUGAUUGACUUAAGAGUCACACAACCUGGGAGUGCUUGAGGUGGAAUUCAAACCCAGGUCUUCCUGAUUCCUCAUAAUACAAAAAAGAUCUAUGAUCUCAGCUGAGUGACCUCCUUCACCAACAGAGGAGAAUCUCUAUAUGACUUAGCCAACACCCAAGGUGCAUAAAAGUGAAAUGACUUGUUCAGGGUCACAUCUAGUACAUGUCAGAGGUGGGGUUUUGUACUCAGUUCUUCCUAAUUGCUUCUAGGCACUCUAAUCAUGCUGCAUCAAGACAUAUAGCAGAUGUCUAAUAAAUAUUGAUGAGUUGAUUACUAUGUUCUCA